GGGGAUACCGGUGUAAGAUGGGGCUCGCGUCUGAUUAGCUAGUUGGUGGGUAAAGGCCUACCAAGGCGACGAUCAGUAGCCGGUCUGAGAGGAUGAACGGCCACAUUGGAACUGAGACACGGUCCAAACUCCUACGGGAGGCAGCAGUGGGGAAUAUUGCACAAUGGGGGAAACCCUGAUGCAGCGACGCCGCGUGAGCGAAGAAGGCUUUCGAGUCGUAAAGCUCUGUCCUAUGAGAAGAUAAUGACGGUAUCAUAGGAGGAAGCCCUGGCUAAAUACGUGCCAGCAGCCGCGGUAAAU
This 300-nucleotide ribosomal RNA is filed under the name uncultured bacterium. RNAcentral describes it as "bacterial SSU rRNA". It matches the Rfam family "Bacterial small subunit ribosomal RNA", at positions 207 to 525 of the family's 1533-position model. The record is from RNAcentral.